Gossypium arboreum is the source of this 401-nucleotide long non-coding RNA. RefSeq lists it as uncharacterized. NCBI's taxonomy places the organism in Eukaryota, Viridiplantae, Streptophyta, Magnoliopsida, Malvales, Malvaceae. The record is from RefSeq and is a predicted model, not a curated record. The transcript is spliced from 2 exons.
AAGAAUUAAAUGGAUGAAAUAUGAAGUUUUAUUAAAAGAAAAUGGGGUGAAAAGAACAAAGUUUUGUCCAUCUUUGUUCAUCAUAGCUAAAAGUUAGAGAAGAGAAAGGAGAGGAGAAAGCUCUUGAGUAUUUGGUCAUUAGGAGGAGGAAAAUUGAAGGAAAUCCCCAACCAUAGUGGGCUUGGAGCUGUGAGGGAAUUCGGAGUGGCCACCCGUUCUAAAAGUUUUAUUUUCUUCUGGUGAACUAGACAUCUUUUUAAUUACGUUUGAGGUUUUGGGCUUUUAAAUGUAAUAAAGCCGCUUAUUUAUUUUUGAUGGUUUUUAUUAUGUAUUACUAAGAUAGGUAAUACUUAUUUUAACUGUUGAAAUUAGAUAGCUUUAGGGCGCGUUUUCAAAAACAA